AGCCGAUUUGGAGCUUGCACUAGAGUUAAGCAGAUCUCCUAGGUCCUCUGUGUUGUUCAACGCAGAAGCCUGAGGUUCAGAUUUUGCGUCAAUACCUACCUAAUCUGGCGAUGCUCCUCCUCACCCUCACCACCGACCACUACCCACCGGAUGGCCAACCCUGCCCGGCCGGCAGCACUCCCACACCGCCUCGCCUCCGCCGACGGCCAACCCACGACCUCCGUCCCCGCCGGCCUUCCUUUCUAAGGCUGGUGGGCAUUGGAGCCCCCCCUCCCC
Molecule: long non-coding RNA, 276 nt
Filed under: Setaria italica (foxtail millet)
Lineage: Eukaryota; Viridiplantae; Streptophyta; Magnoliopsida; Poales; Poaceae
Description: long non-coding RNA (SITA_LNC002649)
Source: RNAcentral